GGAUCCAUAAGUCGGUAUAAUGACAAUAUUUAAUACACAUUAUUUACUCAUGACUAAAAUGAAUAAGCUUUGUUAACUUAGCUCGGAGUAAACAGCCGAAAUUUAGGAGCCGAUUAAAAGUGAAAUAAACUUACUAGUGACAAUUACUUAUCUACUUACUCCCAGGAAUAACGGAGCAACGAUGAGACAUAAUCCAUACUCCAUAACCUGAUAAUGUACAUAAUCUAUGAGUAAACACCCGAAAUCUAGAAGCCGA
Sipha flava (yellow sugarcane aphid) is the source of this 256-nucleotide long non-coding RNA. RefSeq lists it as uncharacterized. The record is from RefSeq and is a predicted model, not a curated record. Lineage: Eukaryota; Metazoa; Arthropoda; Insecta; Hemiptera; Aphididae. The transcript has 4 exons.